RNAcentral lists this long non-coding RNA (721 nucleotides) under Phascolarctos cinereus (koala). RNAcentral describes it as "lncRNA (ENSPCIG00000015510.2)". Lineage: Eukaryota; Metazoa; Chordata; Mammalia; Diprotodontia; Phascolarctidae. The record is from RNAcentral.
GGACCCUUUUAGUAGAAUCAGGGCUUAAACAGCAACUUAAUUUAUGACACUUCUCUAGGCUGAUGGCAUUUUUGUUCUCAGUAAUUCUUUAUGCAUGCCAUUGUUGCUGUUAUUAUCCAAGAUGUGAUCUUGUGUGGUUGAUAAUACUGACUAGAUAUGAAUACUGGAAUAUGGAAUGUUUAAGAAGAGAGCAAAGAAGAAUGAAGACUCUUAUCAUUUUGGAGCAGUACAGGGAUCAUCCUGAACUGGCUGAGUGGAAGUCCAUGGUUCCUUACCUCAGAAUCACAGGAUCUACCGGCUUUAUUUUAAAAAGCGGUCCCAGAUGUUGAUCCUGCCUCUUUGUAACAUGCAAGAAGCAAGAGCUCUGUGAAGAUGUCUCACUCAUAUAUGAGUUGACGUUUUGUAUUGAGGAUUUUGAGACCAGCAGAGAAGCUACCCUUACAAGGUGUGAUUGAGCCAUUCAUCAUAAUCUGUCUUUUGAAAACAUACCUUGCUAUUAAUUGCUUCCCCUCUUGUUUUCUCAACCUCUGUCUGUUUAUAAUAACAACAAUAACUAGCAUGUAUGUAGCACUUUGAGAUCUGUAAAUGCUUUACAUAAGCCCAUUAGAUUGUGAGCUACUUGAAGGCAGGGAUUCUCUUUUGCCUUUCUUUGUAUCCCCAGCACUUAGUACAGUUCCUGGCCCAUAGUAGGUGCUAAUAAAUGCUUAUUGACUGAAAUACA